Molecule: non-coding RNA, 302 nt
Organism: Macaca mulatta (Rhesus monkey)
Lineage: Eukaryota; Metazoa; Chordata; Mammalia; Primates; Cercopithecidae
Source: RefSeq, a predicted model, not a curated record
GCCAGCGGGAGCGUUGGCAGGCCUGGGGUCAGAUCCUGAAUCAGCCAGUUAGUUGGUAGGAGUGGGGCCCAUUUGUAGAAUGAAGGUGAUACCUGCCUCGUGGGGUUAUUGGCAUUAAAUGAAGAAUGUAGGGAACCUAGCACGGUUCUUGAUGUCUAGGAGCUGACACACUCAGAAUGACAAAGGAGUUAGAAAUUCACAUCAACAUAAAUUGGUCCCGACUGACUCAAACCAUGAGAAUUCUGCUCUGCUGAGAUACCUUAGCCGAAGUCUUGCCUUGUAGCCCAGGCUGGAGUACAGUG